CGAAAGGGUUGAGAACGUGGCUGACAAGGAGGGAGAGGGCAGAGGAAGAUGAGGGGUGACAAGGGUCACAAAGUAUAUUGCAGCUCCUGGAGAGAGGUGAGAGAAAGCUAGAGAGAUGAGAAUGUCAGGGAAAGGGAGCUGGUAAAUGUCAGCUUGGUUCAGAGACACCUGGUUUGGGCCGUGUCCCUUCCUGUUGGGGUGGGCCCUGUAGACUGGGCAGGCCUAGCGAGGAAUAGGCUGAAUCAAAAGUGGGGUAUUUGGCUUCAGGAAGGGAGAAGCCUCUGUAACACAACAGCGGAAGCAGGGAUGGCACAGGGGGAAGUGAGUGAAAUUAAGUUUGCUCUGGCUCCUGGUGUUGCCAACUCUAAGUGACCUGGCAGCAAUUGCUACACUUCCUGGGACAUGAGGCCUUCUCCGGGAAGAAAAGGUUUCAGCUACCUGCCUCAGAGGAGUGUGUCCAGAGACUCUGGCUAGGCCAUGUGGCAGAAGCAGGCUCUCACAGAGAUGGGUGGACUUCUGACUUCAUGUGACCAUGAGCAGUAACAGAGAGAACUGGGUGGAAUGGACUGGAAGACAGCCCAAGUUCUAAUGCUGCUCCUCUUGGUGAGAAUGAAAAAAGUGAAUUUAGAAGUGUUUUGUGAAAGUUAGAGCAUGAACCCCAAAACCAACUUCAGCUUUUAGCUUUGUUUUUUCCUCAGAGGACUUAUUCUAACACUCUAUGGAGCAGCAGCAGUAGAGUUAGUUCAGGUUAGUUCAGCUCAUGUCAGAUGUACUCCAGCAUCACAGCAGAGUCACAUUUGACAAAACCAACAUAAAAUGAAGACACAGUAACUGAGGUCAUGCAAGAAAAUGAAAAGAGCAUGCACAUCAUUCCAAUGAGCAGACUGCACAGAAAUUCCAGGCCACAC
This is a non-coding RNA of Myodes glareolus (Bank vole), 908 nucleotides long. NCBI's taxonomy places the organism in Eukaryota, Metazoa, Chordata, Mammalia, Rodentia, Cricetidae. The record is from RefSeq and is a predicted model, not a curated record.